RNAcentral lists this ribosomal RNA (999 nucleotides) under uncultured bacterium. Its description in RNAcentral is "bacterial SSU rRNA". It matches the Rfam family "Bacterial small subunit ribosomal RNA", at positions 356 to 1376 of the family's 1533-position model. The record is from RNAcentral.
GGGGAAUAUUGCACAAUGGGGGAAACCCUGAUGCAGCAACGCCGCGUGAAGGAAGAAGGUUUUCGGAUCGUAAACUUCUAUCAACAGGGACGAAGAAAGUGACGGUACCUAACAAGAAAGCCCCGGCUAACUACGUGCCAGCAGCCGCGGUAAUACGUAGGGGGCAAGCGUUAUCCGGAAUUACUGGGUGUAAAGGGAGCGUAGACGGUAAAGCAAGUCUGAAGUGAAAGCCCGGGGCUCAACCCCGGGACUGCUUUGGAAACUGUUUAACUAGAGUGCUGGAGAGGUAAGCGGAAUUCCUAGUGUAGCGGUGAAAUGCGUAGAUAUUAGGAGGAACACCAGUGGCGAAGGCGACCUACUGGGCACCAACUGACGCUGAGGCUCGAAAGCAUGGGUAGCAAACAGGAUUAGAUACCCUGGUAGUCCAUGCCGUAAACGAUGAUUACUAGGUGUUGGAGGAUUGACCCCUUCAGUGCCGCAGUUAACACAAUAAGUAAUCCACCUGGGGAGUACGACCGCAAGGUUGAAACUCAAAGGAAUUGACGGGGGCCCGCACAAGCAGUGGAGUAUGUGGUUUAAUUCGAAGCAACGCGAAGAACCUUACCAGGUCUUGACAUCCGAUGCAUAGUGCAGAGAUGCAUGAAGUCCUUCGGGACAUCGAGACAGGUGGUGCAUGGUUGUCGUCAGCUCGUGUCGUGAGAUGUUGGGUUAAGUCCCGCAACGAGCGCAACCCUUAUUGCCAGUUACUACGAAAGAGGACUCUGGCGAGACUGCCGUUGACAAAACGGAGGAAGGUGGGGAUGACGUCAAAUCAUCAUGCCCUUUAUGACCUGGGCUACACACGUACUACAAUGGCGUUUAACAAAGAGAAGCAAGACCGCGAGGUGGAGCAAAACUCAAAAACAACGUCUCAGUUCAGAUUGCAGGCUGCAACUCGCCUGCAUGAAGUCGGAAUUGCUAGUAAUCGCGGAUCAGCAUGCCGCGGUGAAUACGUUCCCG